RNAcentral lists this ribosomal RNA (437 nucleotides) under uncultured Clostridium sp. RNAcentral describes it as "partial 16S ribosomal RNA". It matches the Rfam family "Bacterial small subunit ribosomal RNA", at positions 341 to 792 of the family's 1533-position model. Lineage: Bacteria; Bacillati; Bacillota; Clostridia; Eubacteriales; Clostridiaceae. The record is from RNAcentral.
ACGGGAGGCAGCAGUGGGGAAUAUUGCACAAUGGGCGCAAGCCUGAUGCAGCAACGCCGCGUGAGCGAUGAAGGUCUUCGGAUCGUAAAGCUCUGUCCUUAGGGACGAAGAAAGUGACGGUACCUAAGGAGGAAGCCCCGGCUAACUACGUGCCAGCAGCCGCGGUAAUACGUAGGGGGCAAGCGUUAUCCGGAUUUACUGGGUGUAAAGGGAGCGUAGACGGUAAGGCAAGUCUGAAGUGAAAUGCGGGGGCUCAACCCCUGAACUGCUUUGGAAACUGUUUUACUAGAGUGCAGGAGAGGUAAGUGGAAUUCCUAGUGUAGCGGUGAAAUGCGUAGAUAUUAGGAGGAACACCAGUGGCGAAGGCGGCUUACUGGACUGUAACUGACGUUGAGGCUCGAAAGCGUGGGGAGCAAACAGGAUUAGAUACCCUGGUA